AAGUCGUAACAAGGUUUCCGUAGGUGAACCUGCGGAAGGAUCAUUUCCAAAAAGCAACUGUGCCAAACUAUAUACACCUUUUGGUGUGUGAAACGUAAUGGAAUUGGUAUCUUAUCAAUUUUACUCUCUUCUAAUGGUGUGGUAUUGGUAGUAUCUCGUAUACUACUGUAUAUACACUUGUUAGAAAGAGAGGCCUUGAUGAACCCACAUCUUUGAAGAGCUUUCUACAUUUUUAAUAAUGUAAAAGUACUCUGAAAGGACGUUAACAAAAAGUCUCGAUAUGUUUCCAAGUAAAAAAGGGGGAUGUAGUAGGCUCUUGCAGUAUCUAGUAUACUUGCAUUGCUCGACUACUCCUCUAUACACUAGUAAAUAUACAGACAACUUUUAACGGUGGAUCUCUUGGCUCGU
RNAcentral lists this unclassified non-coding RNA (408 nucleotides) under fungal sp. RNAcentral describes it as "partial internal transcribed spacer region". The stretch from base 1 to 46 matches the Rfam family "Eukaryotic small subunit ribosomal RNA", at positions 1786 to 1831 of the family's 1831-position model. Lineage: Eukaryota; Fungi. The record is from RNAcentral.